UGGGGAAUUUUGGACAAUGGGCGCAAGCCUGAUCCAGCCAUGCCGCGUGCGGGAAGAAGGCCUUCGGGUUGUAAACCGCUUUUGUCAGGGAAGAAAUCUUCUGAGUUAAUACCUCGGGAGGAUGACGGUACCUGAAGAAUAAGCACCGGCUAACUACGUGCCAGCAGCCGCGGUAAUACGUAGGGUGCAAGCGUUAAUCGGAAUUACUGGGCGUAAAGCGUGCGCAGGCGGUUUUGUAAGACAGAGGUGAAAUCCCCGGGCUCAACCUGGGAACUGCCUUUGUGACUGCAAGGCUUGAGUGCGGCAGAGGGGGAUGGAAUUCCGCGUGUAGCAGUGAAAUGCGUAGAUAUGCGGAGGAACACCGAUGGCGAAGGCAAUCCCCGUGGGCCUGCACUGACGCUCAUGCACGAAAGCGUGGGGAGCAAACAGGAUUAGAUACCCUGGUAGUCCACGCCCUAAACGAUGUCAACUGGUUGUUGGGAAGUCCUUCUCAGUAACGUAGUUAACGCGUGAAGUUGACCGCCUGGGGAGUACGGCCGCAAGGUUGAAACUCAAAUG
Molecule: ribosomal RNA, 558 nt
Filed under: uncultured bacterium
Lineage: Bacteria
Description: partial 16S ribosomal RNA
Rfam family: Bacterial small subunit ribosomal RNA
Source: RNAcentral